ACAUAUUGUUUAUUAUCUGCUCUUUCAUUAGGUUUCUUGGAAUCUUUGUCGAGGGUCAUCAGUUCAGUACCCAAGGAGGUUUUGCCUUCAUACAUAAAACUUGUCCGUGAUGCUGUAUCACAUCCAGAGAUAAAGAGCGUAGGAAGAAAAAGGGAGGACCUAUUCUCAUACCUGGAUUUUGUCUUCCCAAAGCACUGCAGCCUCUAUUGCCUAUUUUUCUCCAAGGUCUUAUGAGUGGGUCUGCUGAAUUAAGGGAGCAGGCUGCAUUGGGACUUGGUGAACUGAUAGAG
Molecule: long non-coding RNA, 290 nt
Organism: Prosopis cineraria
Lineage: Eukaryota; Viridiplantae; Streptophyta; Magnoliopsida; Fabales; Fabaceae
Exons: 3
Source: RefSeq, a predicted model, not a curated record